ACAAUAAAAAUAUAAAAAUAAUAAGUGCAUGAUCCUGCUAAAUAAAUAACAUUUAUUGAGGAGGCUCAACAUGAUAAAGGCUAGAUAUUUAUGCUAACACUUAACCAGUUCCACAAAGCUUUGUUGUCUAUUUGAGCUCCACAGAAUUUAAGGAUCAAAGAAGACUAGCAGACGGAGGACAUCCUAAUCGCUGUCAGGGUGCUGCCGACUUUCAAAUACACCUCCACCACCUGCUAGCUACAUGAGAAGAAAUUACGUCAAACUCUAGCUUGGGGGAGAGCACCCCCAUUUAUUCAGCUAAGUGUUCUACUCAUGUUUAUACUUUACUC
Molecule: long non-coding RNA, 329 nt
Filed under: Sorghum bicolor (sorghum)
Lineage: Eukaryota; Viridiplantae; Streptophyta; Magnoliopsida; Poales; Poaceae
Description: long non-coding RNA (SBIC_LNC002937)
Source: RNAcentral